This is a long non-coding RNA of Leptidea sinapis, 492 nucleotides long. RefSeq lists it as uncharacterized. The record is from RefSeq and is a predicted model, not a curated record. The transcript is spliced from 2 exons. Lineage: Eukaryota; Metazoa; Arthropoda; Insecta; Lepidoptera; Pieridae.
UCAUUAACAGUGCGAGUGGGAGCGGACGGCCGCGGCGGGGCGGGAGAGGGGUGCGGCCUGUGGGUUCCUAGGUGGAGGUGAACUCUGAACAUGUGGCCAACUCUUCAUAUUCAUCAAUCAGCCGGAAGACAUCAAAACUUAAGCCGCGUCUUUUGUUUAAUCCGGAGAAAAAUUCAAACAAAUCGCUGCAGCGAGGGUCGCCGGCUCUGGCAGGUAUCCGAAACAAAUUGCCCUUAAUAAAAUACUCCUCCAAUUAACAAGCCUCCGAGGAAAACGGGAAAAAUAAUAAGAAUCACCUUCUUAGAUGGAAAGUGAUCUCCUCUUAAUUGCGGAGGGAGUCUCCGCGCCGGAGGUCUACGUUUCAAAUUGGCUGGAUUUUAUUUUGAUUGGAGAGUUUACAUAUAUUUCAUGCCGAGCUUUUUUGUCAUUGUCGGGUGGGACCUUUCGAACUGAACUUGAUGUUUUAAUAUUAUUAAAGUAUCAUGACAAGUA